GUCUGGGAUAGCUCAGUGGGUAGAGCAUGAGGCUCUAAAUCUCAGGAUUGUGGGUUCGAGACUCACGUUGGGCA
Podarcis lilfordi (Lilford's wall lizard) is the source of this 74-nucleotide non-coding RNA. The record is from the annotation of a GenBank genome assembly. NCBI's taxonomy places the organism in Eukaryota, Metazoa, Chordata, Lepidosauria, Squamata, Lacertidae.